CAGUAGCCACGGGAAUACGGAGGAUCCGAGCGUUAUCCGGAAUUAUUGGGUUUAAAGGGUGCGUAUGCGGAUAGAUAAGUCAGUGGUGAAAGACGGUGGCUCAACCAUCGCAGUGCCGUUGAUACUGUUUAUCUUGAAUAUGGAUGAGGUAGGCGGAAUGUGGCAAGUAGCGGUGAAAUGCAUAGAUAUGCCACAGAACACCAAUUGCGAAGGCAGCUGGCUACACAACUAUUGACGCUGAGGCACGAAAGCGUGGGGAUCAAACAGGAUUAGAGACCCCAGUAGUCCCUGUCUCUUAUAC
RNAcentral lists this ribosomal RNA (301 nucleotides) under uncultured bacterium. Its description in RNAcentral is "partial 16S ribosomal RNA". It matches the Rfam family "Bacterial small subunit ribosomal RNA", at positions 509 to 807 of the family's 1533-position model. The record is from RNAcentral.